This 372-nucleotide ribosomal RNA is filed under the name uncultured organism. Its description in RNAcentral is "bacterial SSU rRNA". It matches the Rfam family "Bacterial small subunit ribosomal RNA", at positions 526 to 896 of the family's 1533-position model. The record is from RNAcentral.
CAGAGACUGCAAGCGUUAUUCGGAUUCACUGGGCGUAAAGGGUGCGCAGGCGGCCGUGUGUGUGAGGCGUGAAAGCCCGGGGCUUAACCCCGGAAUUGCACCUCAAACUACAUGGCUAGAGCAUUGGAGAGGGUAGCAGAAUUCAUGGUGUAGCAGUGAAAUGCGUAGAUAUCAUGAGGAAUACCAGAGGCGAAGGCGGCUACCUGGACAAUUGCUGACGCUCAGGCACGAAAGCGUGGGGAGCAAAAGGGAUUAGAUACCCCUGUAGUCCACGCCCUAAACGGUGCACACUAGGUCUUGGCGGAUUCGAUCCCGCCAGGGCCCAAGCUAACGCGUUAAGUGUGCCGCCUGAGGACUACGGCCGCAAGGCUA